GGGUAGGUGGCAGAGCGGCUAUGCACGGGACUGCAGAUCCCGACUAUUGGGGUUCGAAUCCCCACCUACCCU
This is a transfer RNA of Thermoplasmatales archaeon I-plasma, 72 nucleotides long. It matches the Rfam family "tRNA". From Rfam's summary of the family: Transfer RNA (tRNA) molecules are approximately 80 nucleotides in length. Their secondary structure includes four short double-helical elements and three loops (D, anti-codon, and T loops). The record is from Rfam. NCBI's taxonomy places the organism in Archaea, Methanobacteriati, Thermoplasmatota, Thermoplasmata, Thermoplasmatales.